GGGAGGUAGUGACAAUAAAUAACAAUACGGGGCUCUUUCGGGUCUCGUAAUUGGAAUGAGUACAAUUUAAAUCUCUUAACGAGGAACAAUUGGAGGGCAAGUCUGGUGCCAGCAGCCGCGGUAAUUCCAGCUCCAAUAGCGUAUAUUAAAGUUGUUGCAGUUAAAAAGCUCGUAGUUGAAUUUCGGGAUCAGCAGGUUGGUCGUGCCACUGGUAUGCACUGGCUUUGCUGGUUCCUCCUUUCUGAAGAACUGUAAUGCCAUUAAUUUGGUGUUGCAGGGAAACAGGACUGUUACUUUGAAAAAUUAGAGUGUUUAAAGCAGGCCAACGCCUGAAUACAUUAGCAUGGAAUAAUGAAAUAGGACGUUCGAACCUAUUUUGUUGGUUUCUAGGAUUGACGUAAUGAUUAAUAGGGAUAGUUGGG
This 422-nucleotide ribosomal RNA is filed under the name uncultured Glomeraceae. RNAcentral describes it as "SSU rRNA". It matches the Rfam family "Eukaryotic small subunit ribosomal RNA", at positions 459 to 886 of the family's 1831-position model. Lineage: Eukaryota; Fungi; Glomeromycota; Glomeromycetes; Glomerales; Glomeraceae. The record is from RNAcentral.